RNAcentral lists this ribosomal RNA (164 nucleotides) under Styrax hemsleyanus. Its description in RNAcentral is "5.8S ribosomal RNA". It matches the Rfam family "5.8S ribosomal RNA". Rfam says of the family: 5.8S ribosomal RNA (5.8S rRNA) is a component of the large subunit of the eukaryotic ribosome. It is transcribed by RNA polymerase I as part of the 45S precursor that also contains 18S and 28S rRNA. Lineage: Eukaryota; Viridiplantae; Streptophyta; Magnoliopsida; Ericales; Styracaceae. The record is from RNAcentral.
UAAACGACUCUCGGCAACGGAUAUCUUGGCUCUCGCAUCGAUGAAGAACGUAGCGAAAUGCGAUACUUGGUGUGAAUUGCAGAAUCCCGUGAACCAUCGAGUUUUUGAACGCAAGUUGCGCCCGAAACCAUUAGGUCGAGGGCACGCCUGCCUGGGCGUCUCAC